AUGCAGCCGGCGCCGACCGCCCGGACCGCCGGCUGGCUCCACCGCCCGCUCCCGAGAGAGCGGCCGCACCUGACCCGCUGCACCAAGAUCCUCUGCUCGGCGUUCCUCACCCUGCUCCUCGUCGCCGGCGUGCUCCUCUUCGUCGCCUACCUCGCCGUGCGCCCGCACCGGCCGCGCUUCCACGUCACCGCCUUCUCCGCCGCCAGCGUCCAGCAGGCCGGCGCCGGCGCGGUCCUCCUCUCCGGGCAGCUCUCCAUCCGCAACCCGAACCGGGACGUGGCCUUCUUCUACGACCGGCUCUACAUGUCCGUGCUCUACCGCCAGUACGGCGCCGUCGUCAAGGACCACGACCUGGCCGGCGGGGCGCCCAUGUACCAGCCGCCCAAGACCACGACGCCCCUCGCGUUCGAGGGCGUCGCCGUGCCGGCGGGCCCCGCCACGGCCGACAUGGCCAGGGCGGCCGCGGAGGCCGGAGGUGGCGCGGUGGAGUUCACGGUGAAGGUCCGGUCGAGGAUCCGGGCCAAGGUGGCCGUCUGGGGCUUCCACUGGCACCCGCUCCACGUGGACUGCGACGUGGCCGUGGGCCCCGACGGGCAGCUGCUGCCGGAGGCCCGGCAGAAGCGCUGCGACAUAGACUUCUUGUAG
Molecule: ribosomal RNA, 645 nt
Filed under: Triticum aestivum (bread wheat)
Lineage: Eukaryota; Viridiplantae; Streptophyta; Magnoliopsida; Poales; Poaceae
Description: partial small subunit ribosomal RNA
Source: RNAcentral